RNAcentral lists this ribosomal RNA (261 nucleotides) under uncultured bacterium. Its description in RNAcentral is "partial 16S ribosomal RNA". It matches the Rfam family "Bacterial small subunit ribosomal RNA", at positions 793 to 1055 of the family's 1533-position model. The record is from RNAcentral.
GUCCACGCCCUAAACGAUGAGUGCUAGUUGUCGGGGUCUUAGAUCUCGGUGGCGAAGCUAACGCGUUAAGCACUCCGCCUGGGGACUACGGUCGCAAGACUAAAACUCAAAGAAAUUGACGGGGACCCGCACAAGCAGUGGAGCAUGUGGUUUAAUUCGAUGCUACGCGAAAAACCUUACCAACCCUUGAAUCCCAUUGACCGGUACAGAAAUGUACUUUGGAGCAAUCCACAGUGGAGACAGGUGUUGCAUGGCUGUCGU